CUCCCGUGACCUACCCUGUAGUUCCGGGCUUUUGUUUAAAUGGCGUUCGGCGCAUUGUCGGAUUGCUGGCUCGAUUAUCAGAAGCUCGUCUCUACAGGUAUCUCACAGGGUAGA
This 114-nucleotide microRNA precursor is filed under the name Drosophila simulans. RNAcentral's name for it is "microRNA dsi-mir-993 precursor". Its record names the gene dsi-mir-993. It matches the Rfam family "mir-10 microRNA precursor family". From Rfam's summary of the family: In this case the mature sequence comes from the 5' arm of the precursor. The extents of the hairpin precursors are not generally known and are estimated based on hairpin prediction. Lineage: Eukaryota; Metazoa; Arthropoda; Insecta; Diptera; Drosophilidae. The record is from miRBase by way of RNAcentral.